ACAUUUUUCUGUGGAUCCACCUUAAUAUCUGAUACGACCCGCACUGCGGGUCCAGUAUAUUAAACUUAUUUUUGGAAACAGGCGAGUGUUAGGGGCUUGCUCCACCUCUGCCACGGAUCGGCCCGGUAUUGCAGUACCGCCGGGAUCGGUCCAAUAAUC
This 159-nucleotide small nuclear RNA is filed under the name Bemisia tabaci. RNAcentral's name for it is "U2 spliceosomal RNA". It matches the Rfam family "U2 spliceosomal RNA", at positions 57 to 192 of the family's 192-position model. Rfam says of the family: U2 is a small nuclear RNA (snRNA) component of the spliceosome (involved in pre-mRNA splicing). Complementary binding between U2 snRNA (in an area lying towards the 5' end but 3' to hairpin I) and the branchpoint sequence (BPS) of the intron results the bulging out of an unpaired adenosine, on the BPS, which initiates a nucleophilic attack at the intronic 5' splice site, thus starting the first of two transesterification reactions that mediate splicing. Lineage: Eukaryota; Metazoa; Arthropoda; Insecta; Hemiptera; Aleyrodidae. The record is from RNAcentral.